UUUUGUUCAUGAUUUUAACUCCGUCGAGGAGAGAAACAGUGUUUCGUACUUUGUACCCUCUGUAAUGACGCAAUUCACUAGGAUGUUUGUAAAUUAUGCAAAUUUUGUAAUAUUUGUUCACUUUUGGAAACGUGGACAAAUAUUUAAACAGAAUUUAAUGGGUUACAAACACAAAAGAGUGAAGUAUUAUUAGUAACAAGAAUUAUUUACUUGUUAAACUGUUCCAGUAAAUUGUAGCUGCGUGAAAUGAGUGUGAAAUAAACAUUUCCCCCAGUUUUUCCCACUCGUGGCGAAUUUGUGCGAAAAAAUUUUGCAAUUUUAAGAAACACUGUCAGUCAUGAAAUCCUGUUCGAUUCCAUUAUUCAAGCAAGUCGUACUUCAAUGGGCCAUGCAUACGAAAUGUGCCCUCUGCUUUUGCACAAUUUCAUGUUCCACUCCCCAUCACCCCAAAAUAAUUGCAAACUUGUGCAAAAAAUAUUGCACCCCACCCUUUCUGCACGGCCGUCACCCUAUAAAUAUACUAUUUCUCUUUUAUCACGACUUUGUGCCCCUUUGUUCUCAGUGAUUCCUUUGUGCGACGAUUUGAUUUCAUGAUUUGAUUGAGCUCUACUCCGUCUCCUGAAUCAUUAUACGAUAUGAUUUACCACAUUUCAUCUCCUAUUGUCUUUUGCGAUAUCGUUAUCAUGCGUUCUCCUUACAAGCAACGCUCCCUGAUUUAAUGAGUUGCCAGAAUUUGAUGUCACACAAUGUACGGCACGAGGAAGUCGAGAAUUGUGGUUGAGUUGGCCAAAAUUAAUUCCCGAUAGUAAAUUCGUUACUAGAAAUUUUGGCAAAAUUUGUAUGGCUUAAUUUUAGCUACAGAGAAAGUACGUUGUCCAAUUAAAAUUAAAUAUGAGUCACAAAGGAGAAAUGAAAUCAUGGGCAAAAUAUCUACGUUACUACAAAUUUCUUGGGUUUUCUGCCAGAGGUGAAAUACCUACAGUGUGGGUUGGGGUUAUUGAAUUUGACCAUUUUUUGUGGUGUCAUGAUGAGAUCCGGAUCUUGACUUGAAGUUGAAGUUGAUUGUUUCGCCUUUGUUUUACAGACGUCAGGAGGCCUGCGGAAAAUCCAAGAAUUGCUGACACCCGAUUGUCCCGACAUUUUGAGGGAGCAUAUCCAACUCAUCAACUCCUGCUUUCCUCCCGACAUUGUGAACUACUUCUCGCCCGACUAUCCACAAACUCUACUCGAUCGGAUUGACCAGUACGCACCCACGCUCAAUAUUGACCCCUCACUCUGGACGGAAAAGCUGUUCUCCGACACUAAAAUCCCGACGGACGUGAAGGAAGAAAUUGUCGCCUUGCAGAAAUCCGUCUACGUCAAGAACAAGGAGCAGCAGCAGCCGGCACAAGCCAUUUCCGGUGCGAAUGAUCAAGACGGUGGUGCUGGGGGUCGACGCAGGUCAAACAAAUCCGGCACGGCUAUCAACAUGGGUGGCGAUGCGAAACCACCACUUCCAAUGUGAAAGAAAUUUUUUAACAAAAAGCGUGCCAAUUCUGUGUCAUAUAUAUUUAUGUACAUAUUAGUUUUUAAGCCAUUUUUAUGUAUAAGCAAAAUGUCAGAAUUGUAUUAAAACAAGCUAUUUUUGGGAAGGAAUUGAAAUAGGUUGCAAAUUCACAUCUGUAAUUGCAAAAAAUAGUAUAAAUGAAUAAAUUGUGAAAAAAAUGGUGCAUAUUUUUCCAUGUAUGAACUUAAAACUGGUUCAGAAUUUUUAAUUUUUUCAAGGUUUUUAAUCAUUUUAUAUAAGAAAUAAAAAUAUUGAAAUAAUGUAUGCUCUCGAGUUGAGAACUCACAUGAUGUCAUUCUAAUUUAAAAAAAUCAUGAUCUGUGCCCUGGCGCAGUGACCUUCCAUCUUUGAACUCGCCGUGUCCCAUGACUUUAAGAGUGCAUCUUGAAAGUUUCAAGUUUAUAUGUUUUUUUCGUUCACGAGUUACCAACGGACGGACACAACUGUCUUAUUUCUUAAUUCAGCACAAAGUUUCUUCUCCCGUAAUAAUACGAACUUUGAACUUAUGGAAAUGUCAUCCAAACUACAAAUUCAUUUCCGGUCUAACAAAGCUAUUUAGUAAUUGCAUUUCUGUUACGUUACCUAUUUGCAUUGAACCGAUUUAUUAUGCAUGCAUGCCAGCCGAGUAUGUACCUGAGUAAUGACACACACAUCCACUAAUGACAGACUUCCUGCCGCAAUUAUUUCCAUAAUAUUUGCACAUUUAGUUUUCCCACAUGUAGUUUUUUAUUGCCACUUCACUCGCCAAUUCUUACACAAAAGUAAUAAUUCAUCAUAUCGAGUCUUGGACAAGUAUUUAAUACUUUCAUAAAAUUAGCUCGCCUUAAAACCUACCUGCAUUUAGUGACCAAUUAGCUCAUCAUUAAUUAACAGCAGUAAAAAUAUUAACAGCAAACAGUUAAGAUGACAAUAUAUACAAUUAGGUACAAACCGUACACAUAAGGCAAAAAUAACAACAACGACGACGACGCAUCCAUUUUUUCUG
Molecule: RNA transcript, 2531 nt
Organism: Folsomia candida
Lineage: Eukaryota; Metazoa; Arthropoda; Collembola; Entomobryomorpha; Isotomidae
Exons: 2
Source: RefSeq, a predicted model, not a curated record